UGCAAGUCGAGGGGCAUCAGGAUGUAGCAAUACAUUGCUGGCGACCGGCGCACGGGUGAGUAACACGUAUCCAACCUGCCGAUAACUCGGGGAUAGCCUUUCGAAAGAAAGAUUAAUAUCCGAUAGUAUAUUAAAACCGCAUGGUAGAACUAUUAAAGAAUUUCGGUCAUCGAUGGGGAUGCGUUCCAUUAGGUUGUUGGCGGGGUAACGGCCCACCAAGCCUUCGAUGGAUAGGGGUUCUGAGAGGAAGGUCCCCACAUUGGAACUGAGACACGGUCCAAACUCC
RNAcentral lists this ribosomal RNA (286 nucleotides) under uncultured Bacteroides sp. Its description in RNAcentral is "partial 16S ribosomal RNA". It matches the Rfam family "Bacterial small subunit ribosomal RNA", at positions 56 to 339 of the family's 1533-position model. The record is from RNAcentral. Lineage: Bacteria; Pseudomonadati; Bacteroidota; Bacteroidia; Bacteroidales; Bacteroidaceae.